UACCCGCAGCACAAGUGGUGGUCACUAUUACUGGGCGUAAAGCGCACGUAGGCGGUUUGUUAAGUCAGAGGCGAAAUCCCGGAGCUCAACUCCGGAACUGCCUUUGAUACUGGCAAGCUAGAGUCCGGAAGAGGUAAGUGGAACUCCUAGUGUAGAGGUGGAAUUCGUAGAUAUUAGGAAGAACACCAGUGGCGAAGGCGGCUUACUGGUCCGGAACUGACGCUGAGGUGCGAAAGCGUGGGGAGCAAACAGG
RNAcentral lists this unclassified non-coding RNA (253 nucleotides) under uncultured Alphaproteobacteria bacterium. RNAcentral describes it as "contains 16S-23S intergenic spacer region". It matches the Rfam family "Bacterial small subunit ribosomal RNA", at positions 524 to 776 of the family's 1533-position model. The record is from RNAcentral. Lineage: Bacteria; Pseudomonadati; Pseudomonadota; Alphaproteobacteria.